This 402-nucleotide ribosomal RNA is filed under the name uncultured bacterium. Its description in RNAcentral is "partial 16S ribosomal RNA". It matches the Rfam family "Bacterial small subunit ribosomal RNA", at positions 338 to 732 of the family's 1533-position model. The record is from RNAcentral.
CCUACGGGUGGCAGCAGUGGGGAAUAUUGCGCAAUGGGCGAAAGCCUGAUGCAGCGACGCCGCGUGAGUGAUGAAGGUCUUCGGAUUGUAAACCUCUGUCAGCAGGGAAGAACGGUCCCUGUGCUAAUCAGCAGUGCAUUGCCGGUACCUGCAAAGGAAGCACCGGCUAACUCCGUGCCAGCAGCCGCGGUAAUACGGAGGGUGCGAGCGUUAAUCGGAAUUACUGGGCGUAAAGCGCUCGUAGGCGGUAUGUCAAGUCAAGGGUGAAAUCCCCGCGCUCAACGUGGGAACUGCCGUUGAAACUGGCAAGCUGGAGUGUGGGAGAGGAUAGUGGAAUUCCAGGUGUAGGGGUGAAAUCCGUAGAGAUCUGGAGGAACAUCAGUGGCGAAGGCGACUAACUGG